Molecule: long non-coding RNA, 517 nt
Organism: Limulus polyphemus (Atlantic horseshoe crab)
Lineage: Eukaryota; Metazoa; Arthropoda; Merostomata; Xiphosura; Limulidae
Exons: 3
Source: RefSeq, a predicted model, not a curated record
GCAGCCGCACCGCACACAGAAACCUAGGCCGGACACUGAGUCCUGUCAUGAUACGGGAAACAGAAGAGCUAAAGGCCACCAUUUUGACAGGAUAAUUAGUGGAAUAGCACACCGACUUUACUUCUAAGCUAAAAACUUGUAAAACUUUUCACUUUUCGACUGAGUUGUUUGGAUAAUGACUUUUUAUAAAACUCGAAACAGAAUCUCACGUAUCAUAUAGAACGCUCUUUCUUUUCCCUGUGCUGCAGGUUGCUAAGAAAAAUAUUUCAGUAUCUGUGAGCAGAAUAAACAGGUCGGACAUUUUUAUAGUUCAGUAAAGCGUACAUGAAGUGGAUUUGAGAACAACUAAAACUAAGUAAAGCUGGUGGAGUCCUUCUCGGACAUGUGGCCAUUAGCCUUGGUUACCAUAGCAAUCACGUUGCUUCCUCAGGACCUCGUGUUAUCACAGGAAUUCACCAAUAGCGUAAAUAAUAUUUGUCCGGAAAUCAGGCCAGGCCAGGAUGACCUUCCAGGUAUU